GACGAACGCUGGCGGCGUGCUUAACACAUGCAAGUCGAACGGAAGGGCCCUGCUUUUGUGGGGUGCUCGAGUGGCGAACGGGUGAGUAACACGUGAGUAACCUGCCCUUGACUUUGGGAUAACUUCAGGAAACUGGGGCUAAUACCGGAUAGGAGCUCCUGCUGCAUGGUGGGGGUUGGAAAGUUUCGGCGGUUGGGGAUGGACUCGCGGCUUAUCAGCUUGUUGGUGGGGUAGUGGCUUACCAAGGCUUUGACGGGUAGCCGGCCUGAGAGGGUGACCGGCCACAUUGGGACUGAGAUACGGCCCAGACUCCUACGGGAGGCAGCAGUGGGGAAUAUGGCACAAUGGGCGGAAGCCUGAUGCAGCAACGCCGCGUGCGGGAUGACGGCCUUCGGGUUGUAAACCGCUUUCGCCUGUGACGAAGCGUGAGUGACGGUAAUGGGUAAAGAAGCACCGGCUAACUACGUG
RNAcentral lists this ribosomal RNA (468 nucleotides) under uncultured bacterium. Its description in RNAcentral is "partial 16S ribosomal RNA". It matches the Rfam family "Bacterial small subunit ribosomal RNA", at positions 28 to 507 of the family's 1533-position model. The record is from RNAcentral.